CCGACGCUUUCGAUCAAGAUAUCUCGAGCUGUAGAGCUUCGUUUUGAGUGAUUCUUGAACCAGUGAGUUCGUCUUUAAGUUCUGAACAAGUCUCCUGAAGGAAUCGAAGCGAAAGGAGGACAUUUUUACGUUGAUCGGAGCUUCGCCAGUUUCUGCAAAUUCUCGCCGGUUUCUGGAAAAAUUCCGGCCACCUCGACUGUUUUAGGUGAUCGAUGGAUUUAUUUGGCGGACGAUUCGUGAGAUUGUUAAUUGAGCUGUUAAGAAGACGCAGCUGGAUCAGAGCGGAUAAUCCUACAGGACUGGAGAAUUCAGGAAGGUGAUCGAACCGUGUAGAGUAGCUGCUUUGUAAUACUCUGAUUUUCAGUUGUGAGGUUUGUUAUGCUCAUUAG
Molecule: long non-coding RNA, 389 nt
Organism: Rosa rugosa (rugosa rose)
Lineage: Eukaryota; Viridiplantae; Streptophyta; Magnoliopsida; Rosales; Rosaceae
Exons: 3
Source: RefSeq, a predicted model, not a curated record